UACGGAGGAUUCAAGCGUUAUCCGGAUUUAUUGGGUUUAAAGGGUGCGUAGGCGGCAGGGCAAGCCUGAUGUGAAAGCCCGGGGCUCAACCCCGGGACUGCAUUGGGAACUGCCCCGCUCGAGUGCCGGAGGGGCAGGCGGAAUUCCUAGUGUAGCGGUGAAAUGCGUAGAUAUCACGCAGAACCCCGAUUGCGAAGGCAGCAUACCGGCGCUCAACUGACGCUGAGGCACGAAAGUGCGGGUAUCGAACAGG
RNAcentral lists this ribosomal RNA (253 nucleotides) under uncultured bacterium. RNAcentral's name for it is "partial 16S ribosomal RNA". It matches the Rfam family "Bacterial small subunit ribosomal RNA", at positions 524 to 776 of the family's 1533-position model. The record is from RNAcentral.